RNAcentral lists this ribosomal RNA (485 nucleotides) under uncultured bacterium. Its description in RNAcentral is "partial 16S ribosomal RNA". It matches the Rfam family "Bacterial small subunit ribosomal RNA", at positions 29 to 508 of the family's 1533-position model. The record is from RNAcentral.
AUUGAACGCUGGCGGCAUGCUUUACACAUGCAAGUCGAACGGCAGCGCGGGCUUCGGCCUGGCGGCGAGUGGCGAACGGGUGAGUAAUACAUCGGAACGUGCCCAGUAGUGGGGGAUAGCUCGGCGAAAGCCGGAUUAAUACCGCAUACGACCUGAGGGUGAAAGCGGGGGAUCUUCGGACCUCGCGCUAUUGGAGCGGCCGAUGGCAGAUUAGCUAGUUGGUGGGGUAAAGGCCUACCAAGGCGACGAUCUGUAGCUGGUCUGAGAGGACGACCAGCCACACUGGGACUGAGACACGGCCCAGACUCCUACGGGAGGCAGCAGUGGGGAAUUUUGGACAAUGGGCGAAAGCCUGAUCCAGCAAUGCCGCGUGUGUGAUGAAGGCCUUCGGGUUGUAAAGCACUUUUGGCGGGAACGAAAAGGACUGUGCCAAUACCACGGUUCGAUGACGGUACCCGCAGAAUAAGCACCGGCUAACUACGUGC